UUCCGCCCUCUUCCACCUAGGUUUUGGCAAUCUCCGGACAGGCAAUGAAAAAGGUGGGCGCAGUUGUGCGCAGGCGCAGACAACAGAGUGCGCAGGCGCAGUCCAUAGUGCAGUGCUCAGGGCGACGUGGCGGGCGGGAGUACGGAAGCCGCAGGGAGAAGCUGUUCUCACCGCUACUCUGAGCAUCUUCCUGCUGCGUGGAGCUACCGCUGACACCAUGUUGAAGAAAUUCGACAAGAAGGACGAGGAGUCUGGUGGAGGCUCCAACCCCCUCCAGCACCUGGAGAAGAGUGCCGUACUCCAAGAGGCUCGGGUCUUUAACGAAACUCCCAUCAAUCCCCGGAAAUGUGCUCACAUCCUCACCAAGAUCCUUUAUCUCAUAAACCAGGGGGAGCACCUGGGGACCACGGAAGCAACUGAGGCUUUCUUUGCCAUGACCAAGCUCUUCCAGUCCAAUGAUCCCACACUCCGCCGCAUGUGCUAUUUGACCAUCAAGGAGAUGUCCUGCAUCGCUGAGGAUGUCAUCAUUGUGACAAGCAGCCUGACAAAAGACAUGACUGGGAAAGAGGAUAAUUACCGCGGUCCUGCUGUCCGUGCCCUCUGCCAGAUCACUGACAGCACCAUGCUGCAGGCUGUUGAACGCUACAUGAAACAAGCAAUUGUGGACAAGGUUCCCAGUGUCUCCAGCUCCGCCCUCGUGUCUUCCCUGCACCUGCUGAAAUGCAGCUUCGAUGUGGUCAAGCGCUGGGUGAACGAGGCCCAGGAGGCGGCGUCCAGUGACAACAUCAUGGUCCAGUACCAUGCCCUAGGACUUCUGUACCAUGUGCGGAAGAAUGACCGACUGGCCGUGAGUAAGAUGAUCAGUAAGUUCACCCGGCACGGCCUCAAGUCCCCCUUUGCCUACUGCAUGAUGAUCCGAGUGGCCAGCAAGCAACUAGAGGAAGAAGACGGCAGCCGUGACAGCCCGCUGUUUGACUUCAUCGAGAGCUGCCUGCGUAACAAGCAUGAGAUGGUGGUGUAUGAAGCUGCCUCAGCCAUUGUCAACCUGCCAGGCUGCAGUGCCAAAGAGCUGGCCCCUGCUGUGUCAGUGCUCCAGCUUUUCUGUAGCUCACCCAAGGCUGCACUUCGCUAUGCUGCUGUGCGCACCCUCAAUAAGGUGGCUAUGAAGCACCCUUCAGCGGUGACUGCCUGCAAUCUAGAUCUGGAAAACCUGGUUACAGACUCAAACAGGAGCAUCGCCACAUUGGCCAUCACCACCCUGCUCAAGACAGGGAGCGAGAGCAGCAUUGACCGCCUUAUGAAGCAGAUUUCCUCCUUCAUGUCGGAGAUCUCAGAUGAGUUCAAGGUGGUGGUUGUCCAGGCCAUCAGUGCCCUGUGCCAGAAGUAUCCUCGAAAGCAUGCUGUGCUCAUGAACUUCCUGUUCACCAUGCUAAGGGAAGAGGGUGGCUUUGAGUACAAGCGUGCCAUUGUGGACUGCAUCAUCAGCAUCAUCGAGGAGAACUCAGAGAGCAAGGAGACAGGAUUGUCACACCUGUGCGAGUUCAUUGAGGACUGCGAGUUCACUGUGCUGGCCACCCGCAUCCUGCACCUGUUGGGCCAGGAGGGGCCCAAGACCAACAACCCUUCCAAGUACAUUCGCUUUAUCUACAACCGUGUGGUCUUGGAGCAUGAAGAAGUUCGGGCAGGUGCAGUAAGUGCUCUGGCCAAGUUUGGAGCUCAGAACGAAGAGAUGUUGCCUAGUAUCUUGGUGUUGCUGAAGAGGUGUGUGAUGGACGACGACAAUGAAGUGAGAGACAGAGCCACCUUCUAUCUGAACGUUCUGGAACAGAAGCAGAAGGCUCUCAACGCAGGUUACAUCCUAAAUGGUCUGACCGUGUCCAUCCCUGGUCUGGAGAAAGCCCUGCAGCAGUACACACUCGAACCAUCAGAGAAGCCAUUUGACCUCAAGUCUGUGCCUCUGGCCACCACGCCUAUGGCAGAGCAGAGACCAGAAAGCACCGCCACCGCAGCAGUCAAACAGCCGGAGAAGGUAGCAGCCACACGGCAGGAGAUUUUCCAAGAGCAGCUAGCAGCGGUGCCUGAGUUCCAGGGACUAGGGCCUCUCUUCAAGUCCUCUCCUGAGCCAGUGGCCCUCACAGAGUCCGAGACCGAGUAUGUCAUCCGUUGCACCAAACACACCUUCUCUGAUCACUUGGUGUUCCAGCAACAUCUGAACCCCACUCCACCUUAUCCAGUUUGACUGCACAAACACCCUCAAUGACCAGACUCUGGAGAAUGUCACAGUGCAGAUGGAGCCCACUGAGGCAUACGAAGUGCUCUCGUAUGUGCCUGCGCGGAGCUUGCCCUACAACCAGCCUGGGACCUGCUACACACUAGUGGCUCUGCCCACUGAAGACCCCACAGCUGUGGCAUGCACGUUCAGCUGUGUGAUGAAGUUCACUGUUAAGGACUGUGAUCCCAACACAGGAGAAAUCGAUGAAGAAGGCUAUGAGGAUGAGUAUGUGCUGGAGGAUCUGGAAGUUACUGUGGCUGAUCACAUCCAAAAAGUCAUGAAAGUGAACUUUGAGGCAGCCUGGGAUGAGGUUGGGGAUGAAUUUGAGAAGGAGGAAACGUUCACCCUGUCUACUAUCAAGACACUCGAAGAGGCUGUGGGCAAUAUUGUGAAGUUCCUGGGAAUGCAUCCUUGUGAGAGGUCAGACAAAGUGCCAGAAAACAAGAACACCCACACGCUGCUGCUAGCUGGAGUAUUCCGGGGUGGUCAUGACAUCCUUGUGCGUUCUCGGCUUCUGCUUUUGGACACAGUGACGAUGCAGGUGACAGCCAGAAGCUCAGAGGAGCUGCCAGUAGAUAUCAUCUUGGCAUCCGUGGGCUAGAGGUGGCCUAAGCCCCACUCCUAUCUUGUCCAACACUACGUCGAAGCCACUUCUUCCCUGUGAAGCCGGUGGAAACCCUUCCCCAGACCACUGUGUUAAGAAACAAUCAAGAGUCAAUACAGAUUUUUUUUUUUAAUUCCAUCCUAUCAUUCAGGAAUGCUAGGGUAGAUUUUGUCACCAUGCCUGCAAGGAGAGACAAAUGAAUAAAAUGUUCAGACUUUCUCUUAAUAUUUAUACUCAAAGAAACCGUCUCAUCCCUAUGAUAAGUCAGCAUGUAUUUCUUGAAUAACUGCUGCUUCUGCAGGCUCGUGCUCAGGGCCUCCACUUCUCCCUGAGGCCUCCCUUCACCAAAUGGAGCGUGUGCAUAGCCCCUCGGGACUGUCAGUGCCAAGCUUAGGGUGGGGUUAAAGGCUAGCCGAAUGACAACAGCUAGCAGGUCUGGUAAGCCACUCAUCUACAGGCAUCUGUAGAUGGAUGGGUGUCCAAAGGUCCUUAGAGGGUGUCAUGAUCUGCUCUGGGUCUAUGAGUGGGAAAAACAGUAUCUGCAUUCCUUUUGGGCUGGAGUAAGAAAUCCUAGGGGAUGCUUCAGGGCUUGGGCUUUAAACUCAAAUCAGGUGGUUUAAACUGUUGGAAACACUUGAAGAACUGGACCUCCUGUGAGGCUACUCAGAUGGCUCAGCAGGUAAAGGUACCUAUCAGGACGGACUACCCACUUGGUAGAAGGAGAGGACCAUUUUGCAAUAGUUGCCGCCUAACCUCAUGCACACCUGUAUACUGUAUGCACAUGCACAUGUACACAUUAGAACAGAGGCCUGCACCUUUAAGCCGAAUCCCAUAACAUGAAGACAUCAGGCUACACUUGAGCAUCGUUAAGCUGUUUUAGCUAUGGCCUAUUUCAUGACUGGUCCUGGCUCCACCAUGUACUUGGUCAGGCAUGCAGUGGUGAACUAAGUAACGUGGUGUGAAACUUCCUAACAGGUUAUAAAGAGAUUUCUCAUUUGGGGGGUUUUCUCAAGUAGGUGACCUGAAGGCUGCUCCCUAAAGACAUCCCUCUGUCCCCCACCUUCCAUCCCUCUCCUGGGGACUGAGCAGUUGCUCUUGCCUGGCCUCUCUGCCUCAUUCCAUCCCUUUAUGAAGGCCUCUCCAGGCUUUAAAGGAAAGCCUGACCUUCAAGGCCACAUCCUGCUUAGCCCUUCCUGACUGUAUUCUUCCUGCCUAAUACCCUCCCCUUCUACUCCCAGGCCUGGUCAUAGCCUGGAAGCCAUUCCAUUCAAAUAAACUUCAUUAAAGAAA
Mus musculus (house mouse) is the source of this 4166-nucleotide RNA transcript. It is a transcript of the gene named coatomer protein complex, subunit gamma 1, with no coding region annotated. The record is from RefSeq and is marked provisional. The transcript has 24 exons. Lineage: Eukaryota; Metazoa; Chordata; Mammalia; Rodentia; Muridae.